GGGGGAUGCAGGGCGCAGCCUGAUCCAGCCAUGCCGCGUGAGUGAUGAAGGCCUUCGGGUUGUAAAGCGCUUUUGUUGGGAAAGAAAUCGACCUUGGCUAAUACCCGGNUGGNAUGACGGUACCCAUAAGAAUAAGCACCGGCUAACUNCGUGCCAGCAGCCGCGGUAAUACGAA
Molecule: ribosomal RNA, 175 nt
Filed under: Stenotrophomonas maltophilia
Lineage: Bacteria; Pseudomonadati; Pseudomonadota; Gammaproteobacteria; Lysobacterales; Lysobacteraceae
Description: partial 16S ribosomal RNA
Rfam family: Bacterial small subunit ribosomal RNA
Source: RNAcentral